Folsomia candida is the source of this 4477-nucleotide long non-coding RNA. RefSeq lists it as uncharacterized. The transcript has 2 exons. The record is from RefSeq and is a predicted model, not a curated record. Lineage: Eukaryota; Metazoa; Arthropoda; Collembola; Entomobryomorpha; Isotomidae.
GAAUCCAAUCUUGGAAUCUUGAAGCUCUUCGUCAUCAUAUAUUGUUUGAGAGAAUAAUGUCUGAGAAGAAUGUGAGGUAACGAUGAUGACCAGAUUGUGUUCACUGGCUAUGGUGUGUCAUGAAUGGGCUGGGGUUCGUACAUAUGUUGUAUGUGUUUACUUAUAUGUAUUAUCCUUACGUGGUAGGUAGCAAGCAUGGGUGUUUAUACGUUGGUGACUUACUGAGGCCUGGGACGAAAUGGGUACAUCUGCUGUUUUGGACUUUAUGAAAGUAGUUCAAUUUGAUUCCUGCAAUCUAUGCGAACGAGGCACUUUUGAUGGCAAGUUCGCAAUCAGGGCAAAUUCGGUGCCAUUAUUGACGAACGCAUUUGGCAUUUGAACUUGAGCAGGAUACUUGUUUUUUUCUUUGGGAGUUGGAGUUCAUUCCAGUUGAUGCACAUUUACUAAAUUCCCAGCAAUUAUAUAAUCAACCUUCCCUGAAAAAUGCUGACAAUACAUAAAUGUGGUGCUAUAAUGAACGCAGAUAUUUACCUAUGUACAUAUGUACAAGAACAGCAAUUUGUCACGUUGACUUUUAUCGAUCAAUGGUAUGUGAAGAGGUGAUCUUUGCCAAAUCCUUAUUGAAAAACUGGUUCUUUAGAUCUGCAACUCUCACUAUCUCCUUUUCGUAGUUGUGUUAGUGAUCAAUGAUCACUAUGUCAAAAAGGCAACUCUUAUAAUUCUUACAACUCUUACCACCCAAUAACCGGUUAGACAUAUAAGUAGACUAAAUAGGUAUACGUAUGGUAUAUAAGUAAGAACAAGAGUGACCAUCGACAGGGAGUCGACUGCCUGUAUCUUGAUACGUGCAAUAAAACCUGUCCUGACUUUGUCUCACCAAAUCUCACCUUGCCUCCAAGACGCAAUUUAUUUCCAUGUACAACAACGACGACGAUCGUCUCAUCUGCCUCACCACCACCAUCAAUGCAGUGAACCCCCCCCCCAUAAACGGAACUUCACAGUGCCUGUCUCGCCUAUUGUUUCUCCAGCCCAGCCUUUUUCUCAUCAUUCUUGUUAUUUUUAUUGUUCCGGACUUGGACAAGAGGUGGUGAAAGUACUGGAAAGGUUUUCCCUCCUCCUGGAGCGCUUUUAAUAGGCUUGGAACAAUAAGCACCCAUCUAUCCAAGUUCUUACUUUGGUCUGUCUCCUCCUGCUUACUCUCAAGCCCUCAGAGACGUACAGCUUUUAGUGUUUUAGUGCUCUUAUUUUCAAGUGGCUAUUGUAGCUCGCAAUUCCGGCUGCCUAAGACAAAUAAAGUUAUCAAGUCCUUUGUGGUCCUGGACUGGUUUGUUCCUAGAAGGAAGGAAGUUCCCUUCUACUUACUCUCCAUCCGCCAACCAACCGAAAGGUGAAGUCUGGAAGGAUUUGUCUGCAAUUUCCAAGACUCCAACCAACACUCGAUUGCUUGACUCCUUUUCUAGUCGAGUUUCACCAAAUAUUUAGAGGUGAGAAGAUGCUCGUCUUCCACGAAUCGCAAAUACAUAUAAGCAAAAGCAAGUAAAUAUGAUCAUCCAUCAGCCUGGAUUAUUUGGCAAUACACAUAUUUAACUUUGAGAAAAAUCAAAGCCCAUACCAGCCCCAGAUAUGAGAAUCCUUUGGGUAACUUAUCUCAAUACUUGUAGGAAAUGCAUCCAGCUUAUUUAUUUUCCACGCGUCCCGUUUGUGUACAGGAUUUUUUACAAAGCCCAAAAUCUCGCUUCCUAACCUUCGUACAUAAACUAUUGCUUGUCCAGGGUGAAAAAACCUGGUGGAGAAAGGUCAAAAAGCGUGAGAGAAAAUAAAGCAAAAGCGCAUCCUCUCUCUACCUUUCUCACUUAUAUAUUAAGAGUUGUGUCCACUAUUUUCUCUCCUUCUCUCAAACUGUCACCGUGCUAGCUAUCUGGCUCUCCUUCCCUCCAACCACUACCACUACCACCAUCCGCAUCACACUCUAAUAACAAAUAAAGAAAGUCAGUUGAAUGGAAAAGAAAUAGAAUGGAGGAAACUUUUUCAGAAACUUCCACGCACGAGAAGAAAUUGGAUUUCUUUGAAGAGAUUUUUUUGCUUUUCUUUGAAGGAAGUGGUGACAGAGGAGUGCAGCCGGAGUAAUCGUAGUAGUAGUGGAAGAGCAGCCAACGGCAGCAGCAGAGAAGACAAGGCCUCGGAAAUAAUCUGUUAUCGGAAUGAGGUGAAAAGAAGGAAUGUAAGCAAACUCCUCACCCUGCUUAAGACCCAACUCUCGCCUUUCUCUUUGUUUGGUGGAAGCAUAUUAUGAAAUCACGCAGUAAUUAAUUAUUUUGUGGUCACGAUCAACGUCAUCAUCACGAACUAAUUGUUUCAGCGGAAUGGGAGAAAAUAUUUUACCCAAAAUGAUUUUAUAUUAAAUUAGUCGACGUGCACAUACAUGCAAUCGUGCGACUACACACAAUAAAUCGUAUGGUUUUGGAUAAUAAUAUAAACCCGUAGCUCAGUUUGGGUUGUAUCGUUUCCAGUAGUUGGCUUUCCUCCUCUUAAGCUGCUUUUACUUUCGAGAGAGACUGAUCGCAAAAUCCAGCAGAGACUGUUCCAAUGACCUCAUUAUAAGAGAGGUUAAAAUGAGUGGUGCCGUAUAUGUAGAUAUGCCUACUCGUAUACACGCUGCCCUAUAUAAAACCGUAUGUGGAUGGAGUGCAACAAUAUUUGUUGUGCUGAGGCAUAAUCCUCUCUAAACCCACGGUCAUAUUUCAUUUUCGCACAGGAACGCCGAGGGAAACACCAAGGACCAAAACAUUAUUCUGCUCUAUUCUAUUGGCCAAAGGGUUUAGGUUGGAUUGUGUGUGUGUGUGCAUACAUAAAUGAGCGUUUUGAUAUAAAUUAAAUGCAUCUCACAACAGCUCAGCUAUUAUUAUUUUGGUCUUUGAUCCUAUAUGCAUUUUAUCAAAUAUUUUCUUCCAUCUUUUCGCAUAUCUCAUGGGGAGGGAAUUCCGUCGUAUUUUAGAAUAUGUUAGAAUCGGAAUACUACAAUUUUAUCGUUCAACCACACGCAGGCUGUUUGGUGAAAUUCGUUUUAGUUUUGUUAUUAAAAAUGUUUUCAUUUAAUUUGUGAGUCGAAUAUUUUGCCAACGAGCGAGUCAACAACAACCACUCGCUAAAAUUAAUGUAUUUCGUCGGAAAGCGAGUGUACUUAUAAGCAGGAAAAACAAAGCGUUCCGUUCAUCUCUUUUUCCUGGGAAAACAUCUCACCACAAUGAUCGCUGAGUCCCACGGUGCUAUGGUGUUAAUCUUUCACUGCAUGCAAACUCUGUCGCUGUCACGGCUUAGUGGGAUGAAAAUAUAAUGUCCCUGCCGUCAAAUGUCCCAGCACUUUCUGUUCAGGAUUCACCUGAACUCUCAAGUCAUGCAGUUUUUGAAAUCAUCAAAGAGGAAUAAAAUCUCGUAUUCAAUAUGAAAUGUAAUGAAAGCUUAUUCAAAAUAAAGGAUUCGUUUCCUUUUGUGUUUCGUGCAGUACAGCGUAUGAAAAGUAAUCAGUGGGAUUAAAAUCGUGGUGAUGAGUUCAUAUGUGGAAGAGAAAGCUGUGUAUUUAGCUAAACAGAGAAAUUAGGAGAGACUAAUUCAUUCCCUUUGAACAAUUAAAAUAGGAAAGGAAUAAUUAAUUUGGAUAAUAUCCUGCUCUCACUCUCAGCAGCGCCCGUCCUCCCUCCCAUCAUCAUUAAAUCGCAUUCCAGCCAAGUUCUUCUCAGCAAUCCAACCGUGACUCCCUCAUUUUCGUGGCAUCUUAACCACAGACCUUGUAAUGCGCACUUCAAAUGCCACUGGAUGACUUCCAAGGACUCUGGAGUUCCAUGGCUGCAGAGUGGCACUUACAUACACAUCGCUACAGUGGAGUAGCUCCUCUUCCGGAGAUCUUCUUAAAUCGACACGGGUUCCAGGCGAUGAGGAUAAUGAUGAUGAUUGCCAUUAUGAUUGCCCGUCUCUUGCUUGGUUCGUCAUGAUAAUAAUGAUACAAUUAUGUGAGGAUCCGCACAGCAUAGCAAUUGAUAAAGAUAUUCAAAUAAUUUAAUGCAAUUUAUAAACUUUAAAAUAACAUUUAUUAUACAUGUGUAACAGUAUUAAGUCAACGAGCACUGUACACAUUUAUGUAGAAUGUCUUGGCAUACAAGAGUUGGACAUAUCGCAGAAAUUCAUUCAGGAGAAAGUUGUAUUAUCCUAUUACCACGUUGUUAAACAUUUUUACGGAAAUUAUUGAAAACAGAUUUAUUUAAAUUGGUUAACCUAAAUCACAGAUUAUUUCCUCGGGCAUAUUAUGUAUACGGACAAUAUAGAUAGACGAUAAUAUACGAUCUUUGCAACAUUAGUCACCAUUAUUAGCACAUUUCAGGUUUCCUAUGCAUUAUAAAGCUAAGUCUUUCAGGGGUGUAGAGAGAAUGUAAAUUGAAUUGCCUAAUGUUCAUGCAUCAAUAAUAUCAUCGUUAAUGUGGUG